This 986-nucleotide ribosomal RNA is filed under the name uncultured Ascomycota. RNAcentral's name for it is "eukaryotic LSU rRNA". The stretch from base 613 to 766 matches the Rfam family "5.8S ribosomal RNA". The record is from RNAcentral. Lineage: Eukaryota; Fungi; Ascomycota.
CUUGGUCAUUUAGAGGAAGUAAAAGUCGUAACAAGGUUUCCGUAGCAUAAGGAACGAGAAGAUGAUUCUUCUGCCGGUUUACUUAUAGAAGCCUUAGUAACCCGUCUACACGGGAGGCCACACGACGAUAAAGAAAGUGGCCACAUUACUAGUUGGUAUGAUUACCAGCAACAUAACUAGACUGAAGGGAAUUCUCUGAGAGCCUGCUUAGGAAGCAGGCUCACUGGGUUACCCACAGCGGCUCUCUUACAUAGAAGUCGUCUACAGGCUAAGUGGUUAUGGGCGGGUGCUUAUUUAAGUGCCUGUUUGAGAUAUAGUCGGGCGUAAUAGUCACCUAUUAUGUUGGGGAAAUACCAUAGAUUUGAAGUGAACACAGCAUUGUACUUUGAUGCUGCAGGUCGGCACGAAGAUGUGUUACCAUCUAUGAAACAACCCAUUGACAACCGUUCCGUAGGUGAACCUGCGGAAGGAUCAUUAGAGAGCUUUCUUUGGUGUGAGGCUUGCCUUUCGGGGCUGCCGGGGGCAUCACUGCCCCUGACCCGUGCCUGCCAGGAGCCUUCUUAAAUUCAGUCUUUAACCGUGCUGUCUGAGUCCCAGUAUUAAAAUAUAAAAAACUUUCAACAACGGAUCUCUUGGUUCUGGCAUCGAUGAAGAACGCAGCGAAAUGCGAUAAGUAAUGCGAAUUGCAGAAUUCAGUGAGUCAUCGAAUCUUUGAACGCAUAUUGCGCCCUUUGGUAUUCCAAAGGGCAUGCCUGUUCGAGCGUCAUUAUCAACCAUCAAGCCCGGCUUGUCGUUGGAUCUGACAUCGUUAAAAGAUGGAUCCGAAAGAUAAUGACGGCGUCGCGAUCGGCCCCAGGUGCAACGAGCUUUAGACGGCACGCAUUAUGGAGGUCGGCCGGCCCGGUCUUAACCAUUUCAUCUCUGAAGAUUGACCUCGGAUCAGGUAGGAAUACCCGCUGAACUUAAGCAUAUCAAUAAGCGGAGGA